RNAcentral lists this ribosomal RNA (124 nucleotides) under Clostridioides difficile. RNAcentral's name for it is "partial 16S ribosomal RNA". It matches the Rfam family "Bacterial small subunit ribosomal RNA", at positions 1 to 131 of the family's 1533-position model. Lineage: Bacteria; Bacillati; Bacillota; Clostridia; Peptostreptococcales; Peptostreptococcaceae. The record is from RNAcentral.
UUUUAUUUGAGAGUUUGAUCCUGGCUCAGGAUAAACGCUGGCGGCGUGCCUAACACAUGCAAGUUGAGCGAUUUACUUCGGUAAAGAGCGGCGGACGGGUGAGUAACGCGUGGGUAACCUACCC